UACAGAGGGUGCGAGCGUUGUCCGGAAUCACUGGGCGUAAAGGGCGCGUAGGUGGUGGCUUAAGCGUGCGGUGAAAGCUCGGGGCUCAACUCCGAGUCGGCCGUGCGAACUGGGCUCACUGGAGCAUAGUAGAGGCAGGUGGAAUUCCGGGUGUAGCGGUGAAAUGCGUAGAGAUCAGCAGGAAUACCCGUGGCGAAGGCGGCCCCCUGGGCCGUACCUGACGCUGAGGCGCGAAGGCUAGGGGAGCGAACGGG
RNAcentral lists this ribosomal RNA (254 nucleotides) under uncultured bacterium. RNAcentral describes it as "partial 16S ribosomal RNA". It matches the Rfam family "Bacterial small subunit ribosomal RNA", at positions 524 to 776 of the family's 1533-position model. The record is from RNAcentral.